RNAcentral lists this transfer RNA (85 nucleotides) under Felis catus (domestic cat). It matches the Rfam family "tRNA". From Rfam's summary of the family: Transfer RNA (tRNA) molecules are approximately 80 nucleotides in length. Their secondary structure includes four short double-helical elements and three loops (D, anti-codon, and T loops). The record is from Rfam by way of RNAcentral. Lineage: Eukaryota; Metazoa; Chordata; Mammalia; Carnivora; Felidae.
GCCUGGGUGGCUCAGUCGGUUGAGUGUCCGACUUUGGAUCAGAUCAUGAUCUCGUGGUCUGUGAGUUCGAGCCCCACGUCAGGCU